This is a long non-coding RNA of Helianthus annuus (common sunflower), 3896 nucleotides long. RefSeq lists it as uncharacterized. The transcript is spliced from 4 exons. NCBI's taxonomy places the organism in Eukaryota, Viridiplantae, Streptophyta, Magnoliopsida, Asterales, Asteraceae. The record is from RefSeq and is a predicted model, not a curated record.
GGUUUGAGCGGAAAAACUAUACUCCGCUCUUCCUCCAUUGUCGGUAUUGAAUUAAAAUCUCCUCUCUCUCUCUCUCACCGCACACUAUCCUUUUUAUCUCUGCUUCAAAUAAAACCCUAGAUGUAAUUCUAUAUUUCAGUUUCUUGAUUUCUUGAUUGUUGAUAAACCUCUCAGUCAAUCCUCUCAAUUCCUACACUAAACUAUCAUCUGAGAUAUGAGGUCUGAAACCCUAACGAUCGGAUUAUUGUAGAGAACGUGGUGGUUGUGGUUAGUUGUGGAUGAUGGAGGCGACGCUGGUGAUUAAGGUUCUUUCCCUUUUUUUCUUUCACCCUCUUCACAUUUACAAACCCUAAUACACAUAUACUACUUUACUACUUCUUUGGCACAUAUGAACUCUCACCGGCUUAAUUCAAUAUGUUGGUAGAAUCUGUGAAUGUUUGGGCAAAAAUUUAUGCUAUGAGUUACCACAAGUCACUUAACCAUCACAACUUUUAUUUCAAACAACAAGAUUCAAGGAGCUUGAGUACUAGAGAUGCACUAAUACUUCACAAGUUAUACCCAAGUUAUGGAUUGUAAGUUCCGUUCUUGUGUCUAUACGCAGCCUGCUGAUUUUUUCUACGAAAAACCACAAAAAAACGCAGGUUUUUUCAGCGAAAAACGCAACCAGCAACAGCGUCGCUGCAGGUUUGUUCGAUGAACGUUUUCGACGGACGAUGCAGCCUGCAGGUUUUUUUCAGCGAUUUGCAAGUUUUUUUGUCUGGUUUCGGCGAAAAACAACAGCAUGACAGCACAGGUCUGCAGAGAUUAUUAACUCCGUCCGGCUUUAGGCGAAUAUGGUGGCCGGUAGGAUGAACUGCCAGCUGAAGCGACAAAAGACAGCAGCCACAACUAGGUUUUUGUAUGUAAAACCUGAAUUUCUAGACAAGAAGAUGGUUUAUCCAAACUAAAUAGCGGAUACGUGUUUUUAAUGCUUUCUUUAUGACAAUGAGGAGACAAGGAGGAGUAUUGCUACGAUAGGCCAACCAUGAUUGUUUAGGUUUUUGUUCGACCAAAUUGAUCCUCCUAAAGUUCUUUGAGGUAAACCCUAAUAUAUGUGUAUUAGUAUGGUAUAUAUGUUGUUGAUUUUUGUGUAUGAUCUGAGUGUUGAGGAUGGUGAUUGAAUGGAUUUUGCAUGCUUACGUUUACUCUGUUGAGGAUAGUGAUCCGGCAUUAUCUGCUGAUGACUUUGCCGGGUAGGUUGCUAGUGUUUUUGGCUCUAUUGGGUAAAGUUUUCUUUUGCAUACUUUUAAAAUCUUUUUAUAAAUGGAAGAAGUUUAAUACAUAUGUAAAUUGUUGUUCCAUACCAGGUGUAGGUAUGUGCUUAUGGGCUGUUUGGCUAUGUUCUAUUUCAAACACGCUGAAUAAAGCACUUAACUGCAAAUGGAAAAUGAGACAUGUCUAAAUUUACUAAACUGUAUUUGGCAUGGUUUUAGUUAUGACAAAACGUAUUUACGUGUCAGAUUCGAUAUACCAUUUGAGGCAUUAAACCUUUUUUUUUUACAAAAGUAAGGUUCGUAACAAGUGGCGGUGAGCAAAAUAUUGAAUAUUUGAAAUAAACAAAUCGAGAUGAGGUUUCAAUAGUUCAGUUAUGAUUUUUUGGCUGUAAUGGGGAGUGGCUGCAAUGUCAGGUGAUGAUCCAACAUUAUCUGCUGAUGACUUAGCCGGUUAGGUUGCUUGUGUUUUUGGCUAUAUUAGGUAAAGUUUUCUUUUGCAUACUUUUAAUUUUUUUUAUAAAUGGAAGAAGUUUAAUAGAUAUGUAAAUUGUUGUUCCAUACUAGGUGUAGGUAUGUGCUUAUAGGCCAAAUUGCUAUGUUUUAUUUCAAACACGCUGAAUAAAGCAUUUAAUUGCAAAUGGAAAAUGAGACAUGUCUAAAUUUACUAGACUGUGUUUGGCAUGGUUUUAGUAAAUAACAAAACGUAUUUGCGGUUUAGAUUCGAUAUACCAUUUGAGGCGUUAAACCUUUUCAUUUUUUACAAAAUAAGGUUCGUAACAAGUGGCGGUGAGCAAAAUAUUGAAUAUUUGAAAUAAACAAAUUGAGAUGAGGUCUUAAUAGUUCAGCUAUGAUUUUCUUAUAAUUGUCUUUUAUGGUUCAGUUAAAGAAUCCACAAUAGAAGAGUUAAAAAUACCAGUCAUGUCACCUAUGCCUGGGAUUUGGCCCUCGCAUAUUAAUAACCUGUCACCAGAGAUUUACAAGAUUCUCCCCUUGUAUGAAAACGGGUCAAGAAUAUCAAUGAUUAUUUUUAGUGACUACUAGAGUAAAAAAAUAGUUCAAUUUGGCAAAACAAAAUUCUCAUUUCAUCUCAGAUGAUUUAUUAAAGUUAUGUGAUUUACAACAGCAUAAGAUGAGUAUGGCUCUUUCUUACUGUUAUGGUUCUAUUUCUUAGUUACACAGAUGAAUCAUAUAGUUCUUAAGUUGGUUUUUAAUUAUAUUAUAAUUAUAAUAUAACUUUUUUUUUUGUAAUUAUUAUCUUUAUGCAUUUCAAUAACUUUCAGUUCUCUUAUGAUUGUUGUUCUAAACUUUCAUUUUUUAGCAGGUGAUCAUUAUUUUCAUUUUGUUAGGCAUAGUAAAAUAUGCAUAUUAAGAACGUGCAAUAGUAGCUUGAGAGUGUGUUAAGGGUUCUUAUUUAUUAGGACCAUAUGCAUAAACACUGCAAUCCCAUACCCGUGAUUUUUUUUUCAAUCCUUUACUCAACCUCUUACCCGUCGGGUAUCGAGUAUACCUGUCCUAAAUGAUUCAGGUAUACCCACCGGGCUCGGGUUACAAAAUUAGCGAUCCCUACUGAUGUGGUGCCUUAAGUCAAUAUUUUUGUUUUAACUUUGAGCCUUUUUUGUAAAUUUUUUUUGAAAGUUUAAGCUACUUGUGAGCAAAGAAAGAAAUGAAUUCCCAUAGGUAUAAAACUAUGAUUAUAGUUCAACAAGACUUUAGAAGUUACAAUACGGAUGGUGAUCGGUUUAGGUUGUUUUUUAAACUUAAAAACUGACAUGAUGGCCAUUUUUUUGUAAUGUUUAUGUGGGUUUAGGUUAUUUUUUAAACUUAGAAAUUGACAUGAUGGCCAUUUUUUUGUAAUGUUUAUGUGGAUUUAACAUAUAUUAUGGAUAGGGAUUAAAACACAUAUAGUAAAUUCAUUUCAUGUACAUCUUUUGUAACUUUUCAUUUUAUUUUAUAUGGUCUGCAUUAUGUCUUGGCUUGGGUUGUGCUCUUAUUCUAGAAUGGCUAUCAGUCUGGGCUCAAUUACUUCGGUUCUGGUGUGGCGGGUUCUACGCUGUGGAAGGCCCACUAUGGGAUGGGUUUUAAGAAACAGUUGCUGAUGAUGACUAGAGCCCACAAAAUCAGCUGGGGGCACGGUUUCUUGCGUAUUGAAGGCCCAAACCUGGCCUGAUUGUCCUACAAAAAGAACCCGGGUUUGGGAUUUCAGAAAGUGGUUUAAUUUUCAAGCGAAGGCCCAAUACAGGGUUCUUAUUGUGAAGACCAGGGCCCACCUUCGUCGUUUGGGCCUGGUGAUGCUGGGCUUGGUUUACGAGUGGUUUUUAUCAGCGGUGGGUGCCCACUUAUAUAACUACUUAUUGGCUUUGUAGUGGGUGGGAAAUGAUAAAAUGUCUAAAAGCUUCGGUCAGGCUCUAUUUAAUGGAGAAGGCUCAAACAAGGGUUGGGCCACUGAUGGAAAUCAAGCACAUAUCGGCCCAACUUAAAAAUGUCUCGCUAGGCAUGUUUUUUGUGGUUUGUGUAAAGGCGCUAACGAUGAAGAUAAAGAGGACAAAUGUAGUUUACAAAGAAGUUUUUACUGAUAUGUGAUGUUCAUGUACCGUAAUAUUUUAAUUUUUUUAGUUCAGUAUAAGUAUAAUGUUUAUACGUUUA